GGCAGGAUGGCCGAGUUGGUUAUGGCGCCAGGUUAAGGUCUUGAAAAUACUUAACAUCGAUUCCUGGUUCGGAAACGAGCGUGGGUUCAAGUCCCACUUCUGUCA
Morchella snyderi is the source of this 105-nucleotide non-coding RNA. The record is from the annotation of a GenBank genome assembly. Lineage: Eukaryota; Fungi; Ascomycota; Pezizomycetes; Pezizales; Morchellaceae.